This 76-nucleotide small nucleolar RNA is filed under the name Ipomoea nil (Japanese morning glory). RNAcentral's name for it is "Small nucleolar RNA Z105". It matches the Rfam family "Small nucleolar RNA Z105". Rfam says of the family: This family consists of several snoRNA Z105 sequences which are members of the C/D class of snoRNA which contain the C (UGAUGA) and D (CUGA) box motifs. This family seems to be found exclusively in plants. C/D box small nucleolar RNAs are known to act as a methylation guides for 18S ribosomal RNA. The record is from Rfam by way of RNAcentral. Lineage: Eukaryota; Viridiplantae; Streptophyta; Magnoliopsida; Solanales; Convolvulaceae.
CGAGCAUGAUGAUGAUGAACACAAGUUUUUCCGAUUACUGGCAUGAACGGAAUAUUAAACCUCCUACUCAUUCUGA